GGUUAAGCGACUAAGCGUACACGGUGGAUGCCCUGGCAGUCAGAGGCGAUGAAGGACGUGCUAAUCUGCGAAAAGCGUCGGUAAGGUGAUAUGAACCGUUAUAACCGGCGAUGUCCGAAUGGGGAAACCCAGUGCAAUUCGUUGCACUAUCGUUAACUGAAUACAUAGGUUAACGAGGCGAACCGGGGGAACUGAAACAUCUAAGUACCCCGAGGAAAAGAAAUCAACCGAGAUUCCCCCAGUAGCGGCGAGCGAACGGGGAGCAGCCCAGAGUCUGAAUCAGCUUGUGUGUUAGUGGAACGGUCUGGAAAGUCCGACGGUACAGGGUGAUAGUCCCGUACACCAAAAUGCACAGGCUGUGAACUCGAAGAGUAGGGCGGGACACGUGGUAUCCUGUCUGAAUAUGGGGGGACCAUCCUCCAAGGCUAAAUACUCCUGACUGACCGAUAGUGAACCAGUACCGUGAGGGAAAGGCGAAAAGAACCCCGGCGAGGGGAGUGAAAAAGAACCUGAAACCGUGUACGUACAAGCAGUGGGAGCACCUUCGGGUGUGACUGCGUACCUUUUGUAUAAUGGGUCAGCGACUUAUAUUCUGUAGCAAGGUUAACCGUAUAGGGGAGCCGCAGGGAAACCGAGUCUUAACUGGGCGUUAAGUUGCAGGGUAUAGACCCGAAACCCGGUGAUCUAGCCAUGGGCAGGUUGAAGGUUGGGUAACACUAACUGGAGGACCGAACCGACUAAUGUUGAAAAAUUAGCGGAUGACUUGUGGCUGGGGGUGAAAGGCCAAUCAAACCGGGAGAUAGCUGGUUCUCCCCGAAAGCUAUUUAGGUAGCGCCUCGUGAACUCAUCUUCGGGGGUAGAGCACUGUUUCGGCUAGGGGGUCAUCCCGACUUACCAACCCGAUGCAAACUACGAAUACCGAAGAAUGUUAUCACGGGAGACACACGGCGGGUGCUAACGUCCGUCGUGAAGAGGGAAACAACCCAGACCGCCAGCUAAGGUCCCAAAGUCAUGGUUAAGUGGGAAACGAUGUGGGAAGGCACAGACAGCCAGGAUGUUGGCUUAGAAGCAGCCAUCAUUUAAAGAAAGCGUAAUAGCUCACUGGUCGAGUCGGCCUGCGCGGAAGAUGUAACGGGGCUAAACCAUGCACCGAAGCUGCGGCAGCGACACUAUGUGUUGUUGGGUAGGGGAGCGUUCUGUAAGCCUGCGAAGGUGACCUGUGAGGGUUGCUGGAGGUAUCAGAAGUGCGAAUGCUGACAUAAGUAACGAUAAAGCGGGUGAAAAGCCCGCUCGCCGGAAGACCAAGGGUUCCUGUCCAACGUUAAUCGGGGCAGGGUGAGUCGACCCCUAAGGCGAGGCCGAAAGGCGUAGUCGAUGGGAAACAGGUUAAUAUUCCUGUACUUGGUGUUACUGCGAAGGGGGGACGGAGAAGGCUAUGUUAGCCGGGCGACGGUUGUCCCGGUUUAAGCAUGUAGGCUGGUUGUCCAGGCAAAUCCGGAUAAUCAAGGCUGAGGUGUGAUGACGAGGCACUACGGUGCUGAAGUAACAAAUGCCCUGCUUCCAGGAAAAGCCUCUAAGCAUCAGGUAACAUCAAAUCGUACCCCAAACCGACACAGGUGGUCAGGUAGAGAAUACCAAGGCGCUUGAGAGAACUCGGGUGAAGGAACUAGGCAAAAUGGUGCCGUAACUUCGGGAGAAGGCACGCUGGUGUGUAGGUGAAGUCCCUGCGGAUGGAGCUGAGACCAGUC
This 1748-nucleotide ribosomal RNA is filed under the name Pseudomonas aeruginosa. Its description in RNAcentral is "partial 23S ribosomal RNA". It matches the Rfam family "Bacterial large subunit ribosomal RNA", at positions 1 to 1788 of the family's 2925-position model. Lineage: Bacteria; Pseudomonadati; Pseudomonadota; Gammaproteobacteria; Pseudomonadales; Pseudomonadaceae. The record is from RNAcentral.